RNAcentral lists this long non-coding RNA (1008 nucleotides) under Anser cygnoides (Swan goose). RNAcentral's name for it is "lncRNA (ENSACDG00005004928.1)". The record is from RNAcentral. Lineage: Eukaryota; Metazoa; Chordata; Aves; Anseriformes; Anatidae.
AUGCUCGGAGAAGGGCUGGGGAAACACGUUCCCUCCCCACGGCCCAGCCACGGAGCCGGCGUGCACCAGCCUGGCUGGAGAGAAAGAAGCUCCUGGGACAGCCCUGCCAAUGCCCCUCUGCUGAGCCCAGGCGGAGCAGGACCCCGGCCACCCCAGGGACCCCCUGGGGACCCCCACACCGCUGGGCUCAUCCAUCCUUGCCCGCUGCUCCCUGAUCCAUCGCAUCCCCAGCUACAUCCACCAGCAGCCCCCGGGGACUGGCUGUGUCCUGGGGAGGUGCUGGGGCAGGGGGGGCUGCGGGGGCUCACCAGGGCUCACCCACCUGACCUCCAGCACCCUCGGGCCCGUCCCGCUGCGGCCGUGCCAGGCCUGGCGGAGCUGCACGGGGAAGUUUUCACCUUCUGCCAUCCCCGGUCCGUCGGGAGGCAAACGCGGCUAUUUUUAUCCCAGCUAAGUGCUCCUGCAGGCGAGCGUGAGAUGCUUUGCCAGGCUGGGGAGAGGGGGGAAAGGCGGGCGGUUCGGCGGGUACCAUGGCGUGGGGAUGGGGAGCGGGAUGGGGAUCCGUGGGUCCGGGCGGGGAGCAGCCCCCAAACCGCUGCAGGAGCGAGUCUGUCCCCAGCGGGUGCAGGCAGCGGCCCCGCGGUGGCUGUGCUGGGUGCAGAUACCUCAGCAAACGCAUCUGGCCGGGGAUGGACACGGUGGCAAAGUCAGGCAGAGAGCAUCCUUUGUGGACACCUCGCAGAUGCAGAAAAUCAGGAAGAUCACCAGGGCAGCGUCCGAGGCUCCCACCGACGCUCGCGUGCCCGACGCAGCACUGCUGGCUCCGUCCACCACCGCAGCACCCAGCAGCUCCGGGCGGGCAGGAGCCAUCCUGCGACCUCCAGGGCUGGCGAACAAGGAGGACGGGUGGCUUUUUGUCAGCACCGGGGUGGUGGCCGGAUCCAGGGGUCCUGCAGGAGCUGCCCGUGCGGCACAAAGGGCAGGGGGUGUAGGGGAUUUAAAGGAUGA